Molecule: ribosomal RNA, 846 nt
Filed under: Pediococcus acidilactici
Lineage: Bacteria; Bacillati; Bacillota; Bacilli; Lactobacillales; Lactobacillaceae
Description: bacterial SSU rRNA
Rfam family: Bacterial small subunit ribosomal RNA
Source: RNAcentral
CCGAAGAAGUGCAUCGGAAACUGGGAGACUUGAGUGCAGAAGAGGACAGUGGAACUCCAUGUGUAGCGGUGAAAUGCGUAGAUAUAUGGAAGAACACCAGUGGCGAAGGCGGCUGUCUGGUCUGUAACUGACGCUGAGGCUCGAAAGCAUGGGUAGCGAACAGGAUUAGAUACCCUGGUAGUCCAUGCCGUAAACGAUGAUUACUAAGUGUUGGAGGGUUUCCGCCCUUCAGUGCUGCAGCUAACGCAUUAAGUAAUCCGCCUGGGGAGUACGACCGCAAGGUUGAAACUCAAAAGAAUUGACGGGGGCCCGCACAAGCGGUGGAGCAUGUGGUUUAAUUCGAAGCUACGCGAAGAACCUUACCAGGUCUUGACAUCUUCUGCCAACCUAAGAGAUUAGGCGUUCCCUUCGGGGACAGAAUGACAGGUGGUGCAUGGUUGUCGUCAGCUCGUGUCGUGAGAUGUUGGGUUAAGUCCCGCAACGAGCGCAACCCUUAUUACUAGUUGCCAGCAUUCAGUUGGGCACUCUAGUGAGACUGCCGGUGACAAACCGGAGGAAGGUGGGGACGACGUCAAAUCAUCAUGCCCCUUAUGACCUGGGCUACACACGUGCUACAAUGGAUGGUACAACGAGUUGCGAAACCGCGAGGUUUAGCUAAUCUCUUAAAACCAUUCUCAGUUCGGACUGUAGGCUGCAACUCGCCUACACGAAGUCGGAAUCGCUAGUAAUCGCGGAUCAGCAUGCCGCGGUGAAUACGUUCCCGGGCCUUGUACACACCGCCCGUCACACCAUGAGAGUUUGUAACACCCAAAGCCGGUGGGGUAACCUUUUAGGAGCCAGCCGCCU